Magnolia sinica is the source of this 1177-nucleotide long non-coding RNA. RefSeq lists it as uncharacterized. The record is from RefSeq and is a predicted model, not a curated record. The transcript is spliced from 3 exons. NCBI's taxonomy places the organism in Eukaryota, Viridiplantae, Streptophyta, Magnoliopsida, Magnoliales, Magnoliaceae.
GAGAAUCUGAUAUUUUCUGUUUUUACUCUGUAUAGGGGAGUAACUGCUGAUCUACUAAUGGCUGGAUAGAUAAAUGUUGGAGUAUCUUGGAUUCAUCAACUGAGUAUUAUUGCCUGGAUGACUUAUGGAAGCAACAGUUAAGAGUUUCAUUUGAUUUGACAGAGUAUAUGGAACAGCAUCCAGAAGCAUCUAAUUGGGGGAUUGGGAUCUCUAGUUUUAGAAAAAAUGCCUCGUUUCAAGAUUACCAUGGACUCAAAACUUUCAGACAGAAAACUGUUUUCAGUGGACAGCCUACUAAAGCUGACUACAAUCAUAUACCUUGUGCUGUAUUCCGGUAACAAAAAUAUUCCACCUAAAUUUCAAAGUUAUUUUACAUGACACUGCUGUAUUCUGUGUGAAGUAAAUUACAAGAAAAAAGUACCACUACAUAAUUGAUUAUUUGGAAUAAACUAAUUCACAUAUCGAUUGAUAAAUCUGUCAAUGUUGUGUAUCCUCUGCUAAACCAUACACCAGAAACUCCCUGAAAAUUCCAAUAAAUAUCAUCUGCAUGCCUUGUUUCAAGAUUUUUACUAUGCGUUUUUUCCUUCCCCAAAGGUUUUUUUGUCAGUUUCUCUUUUAGAGCCCCUUUCGAUAUAUGAUCUUGGUAGAUGUAUGUUAUAUAUUCCAGUCCACUAAGGUGGAGCUCAGCCAUAUGCUUCGUAAAGCUAAUGAAUUAUCUUGUAGUAUCCUGAGAGGAAGGAAUGUUCAAAAUUCUUACAGAGGGAAUCAAACAACAAUCACUUUUCUUUAUUCUUCCUGGAAAGUACCAAGGGAGCUAAUGUGCUUCUUGCACUGAAAACAAGGGAACCUUGCCUCUUUUUUUUUUUUUGGCAUAAAUAUAAUAAAUGAGUGAACAACUUCUUGUUAGUUUUUGGUUUAACAGGUAAAUGUUCUCUGUUGAGUAGUUUUCUCCCUGCUGACAAUGGCUUGGACUUUUAAGUAGGAUUUGAAUGCUUGAUUUCCGAAUGGAUGCAUCUUAUCCGCCAAAAAAAAAGAAGAAGAGAAAAGAUAACUAGUUGUGCUUAUUCCUGCAUGAUCUGUGGAUAUGUCAUAUGCAUAGUCACUUUGCUCAUGGGACCCCAGCAAGAGGCCAACGGCUGUAGAGGCCCUCCAACAUUCAAAUGCACGGUAUGCUAUC